GAGGAAAGAACAUGGCCUGGGCUCAGCUGUGACUCCGAGUUACAUAACGUACCAUGGUGUUCUUUCUGCCUUGCACAUCCACCUACCCGUCCCCAGCAGCUCAGUGCCCAGGAGGCAGACUUCGAUGGACUCUGCCUACACACUCCUGUGCCCUCGGGCUUCCAGUGCGCUCAGCUGGGCCACCACGUGAACGUCAGGGCCAGCACACACUUCUGAGCUCACUGCUGCAACCGGCUAACAAAAUUCCAGAUACCUGUCUGCCUGAGGCUACCAUUUACCGCCGAUAGGCUACAGAGAGCUUGGUUACAAGAAGUAGGUGUCAGGGUAACCAAGCCCCACAGACUGCCUGCCAGGCCCGUCGUCUUCCUGAAGCAACCGCGCAGCGAGCCGGUGACACAGAGCCACGUGGCAGGCGCAUCAGGAAGAUCCUUGGUUGCAAACAACAUCCAUUUUGAUUGGGAUUGAGGGAAGUAGGAUCCCAGAAACUCUAGGAUUGUGAGAGAAUCAGGCUUGUAAGCCCGAACUGGGCCAGAGCUGGGUCUAGGGCGCUCCCCUGGGACCGUGGUCACUGCACUCCUGAAGCCUGGAAGUCUCCACGUCCUCACUGGAAUGGAUUCCCUGCUGUGCCUGUGCCUGUGCCUGUGCCUUGACUGUUCCAAAUCAAACUCUUUUGUGAGUGCAUCGUUGCAUCCCCACUCCCUGGCUGCAGGAACACCUUUCUGUCUCAGAAGGUCCCCUGCUCCAAUGAGGAUGCCCUGAGAGGCUGCACUUGCAAUGAUUUUCUGCUGAGACACUGAGUCCUUGAGCGGGACUCAGACGCCAACACUCUGAGCGAAGAACAGGCCCCAGGGAGAGGCGGCAGCACUGGAGGAAGGAUGUGCUCUGACAGGGAGAAACGGGGGGCCCCAGAGGUCUGCACCCCUUCCACAAUUCUGCUCAAGGCCAAAGCUGGGCCAGGAAGAGGUACUGAUCCACCUUAAGAGAAGCAGGAGGAAAACGGCUGCUUCCGCCAUCUGGCCAGGUGGGCAGGUAUUGCCAGCUACUGCGGACUUUGCAGGAUAAAAAGUUGCUAGUAGUUGUUAAACGAUUAUGUGCGUGUGGCCUUUUAACAUUUUUUGCAAGUCAAUGUACCCCAUUUACAACGAUGUCUAAAUAUAUAUGUAUCUUGAUAAAGACUGGA
Molecule: long non-coding RNA, 1180 nt
Organism: Myotis brandtii (Brandt's bat)
Lineage: Eukaryota; Metazoa; Chordata; Mammalia; Chiroptera; Vespertilionidae
Exons: 3
Source: RefSeq, a predicted model, not a curated record